GUUUUUUAUUCAUAAGCGGAGGAAAAGAAACCAACAGGGAUUGCCCUAGUAACGGCGAGUGAAGCGGCAACAGCUCAAAUUUGAAAGCUAGCCUUCGGGUUCGCAUUGUAAUUUGUAGAGGAUGCUUUGGGUAAAACGCCAGUCUAAGUUCCUUGGAACAGGACGUCAUAGAGGGUGAGAAUCCCGUAUGUGACUGGAAAUGUUAACCUAUGUAAAGCUCCUUCGACGAGUCGAGUUGUUUGGGAAUGCAGCUCUAAAUGGGAGGUAAAUUUCUUCUAAAGCUAAAUAUUGGCGAGAGACCGAUAGCGCACAAGUAGAGUGAUCGAAAGAUGAAAAGCACUUUGGAAAGAGAGUUAAAAAGCACGUGAAAUUGUUGAAAGGGAAGCGCUUGCAAUCAGACUUGUUUAAACUGUUCGGCCGGUCUUCUGACCGGUUUACUCAGUUUGGACAGGCCAGCAUCAGUUUCGGCGGCCGGAUAAAGGCUCUGGGAAUGUGGCCUCCACUUCGGUGGAGGUGUUAUAGCCCAGUGUGUAAUACGGCCAGCCGGGACUGAGGUCCGCGCUUCGGCUAGGAUGCUGGCGUAAUGGUUGUAAGCGACCCGUCUUGAAACACGGACCAAGGAGUCUAACAUCUAUGCGAGUGUUCGGGUGUCAAACCCCUGCGCGUAAUGAAAGUGAACGGAGGUGGGAACCGCAAGGUGCACCAUCGACCGAUCCUGAUGUCUUCGGAUGGAUUUGAGUAAGAGCAUAGCUGUUGGGACCCGAAAGAUGGUGAACUAUGCCUGAAUAGGGUGAAGCCAGAGGAAACUCUGGUGGAGGCUCGCAGCGGUUCUGACGUGCAAAUCGAUCGUCAAAUUUGGGUAUAGGGGCGAAAGACUAAUCGAACCAUCUAGUACUGGUCUCGAAGAAAUCCCCCCCC
This 918-nucleotide ribosomal RNA is filed under the name Aureobasidium sp. RNAcentral's name for it is "partial large subunit ribosomal RNA". It matches the Rfam family "Eukaryotic large subunit ribosomal RNA", at positions 30 to 974 of the family's 3401-position model. The record is from RNAcentral. Lineage: Eukaryota; Fungi; Ascomycota; Dothideomycetes; Dothideales; Saccotheciaceae.